Long non-coding RNA from Dipodomys spectabilis (banner-tailed kangaroo rat), 104 nucleotides. RefSeq lists it as uncharacterized. The transcript has 3 exons. Lineage: Eukaryota; Metazoa; Chordata; Mammalia; Rodentia; Heteromyidae. The record is from RefSeq and is a predicted model, not a curated record.
CUUCAAUUAAUUCUAAGUGUUUCAAAGAUGAGGAUAAAACAUUUUCUUCUUUUUCAGAGGUAACAUCUUCAUUGUCUCUUGGGCUGGAACUUCCAACUUCAUAA